GACGAACGCUGGCGGCGUGCUUAACACAUGCAAGUCGAACGGAAAGGCCCUGCUUUUGUGGGGUGCUCGAGUGGCGAACGGGUGAGUAACACGUGAGUAACCUGCCCUUGACUGUGGGAUAACUUCAGGAAACUGGGGCGAAUACCGGAUAGGAGCUCCUGCUGCAUGGUGGGGGUUGGAAAGUUUCGGCGGUUGGGGAUGGACUCGCGGCUUAUCAGCUUGUUGGUGGGGUAGUGGCUUACCAAGGCUUUGACGGGUAGCCGGCCUGAGAGGGUGACCGGCCACAUUGGGCCUGCGAUACGGCCCAGACUCCUACGGGCGGCAGCAGUGGGGAAUAUUGCACAAUGGGCGGAAGCCUGAUGCAGAAACGCCGCGUGCGGGAUGACGGCCUUCGGGUUGUAAACCGCUUUCGACUGUGACGAAGCGUGCGUGACGGUAAUGGGUAAAGAAGCACCGGCUAACUACGUG
This 468-nucleotide ribosomal RNA is filed under the name uncultured bacterium. Its description in RNAcentral is "partial 16S ribosomal RNA". It matches the Rfam family "Bacterial small subunit ribosomal RNA", at positions 28 to 507 of the family's 1533-position model. The record is from RNAcentral.